This 116-nucleotide ribosomal RNA is filed under the name Carlito syrichta (Philippine tarsier). The record is from RNAcentral. Lineage: Eukaryota; Metazoa; Chordata; Mammalia; Primates; Tarsiidae.
GUCCAUGGCCAGACCCCCUAACGCGCCGGAUCUCCUCUAUCUUGGACGCUAAGCAUGGUCGGGCCUGGUUAGUACUUGAAUGGGAGACCGCCUGGGAAUACCGGGUGCUGUAGGCU